UACGGGAGGCAGCAGUGGGGAAUAUUGCACAAUGGGCGAAAGCCUGAUGCAGCUAUGCCGCGUGUAUGAAGAAGGCCUUAGGGUUGUAAAGUACUUUCAUCGGGGAGGAAAAACAAAACUAAUAAUUUUAUUUCUUGACGUUACCCGAAAAAGAAGCACCGGCUAACUCCGUGCCAGCAGCCGCGGUAAUACGGAGGGUGCUAGCGUUAAUCAGAAUUACUGGGCGUAAAGAGCACGUAGGUGGUUUUUUUAAGUCAGAUGUGAAAUCCCUGGGCUUAACCUAGGAACUGCAUUUUGAAACUGAAAUACUAGAGUAUCGUAGAGGGAGGUAGAAUUCUAGGUGUAGCGGUGAAAUGCGUAGAUAUCUGGAGGAAUACCUGUGGCGAAAGCGGCCUCCUAAACGAAUACUGACGCUGAGGUGCGAAAGCGUGGGGAGCAAAACAGGGAUUAGAUACC
This 456-nucleotide ribosomal RNA is filed under the name uncultured bacterium. RNAcentral's name for it is "bacterial SSU rRNA". It matches the Rfam family "Bacterial small subunit ribosomal RNA", at positions 340 to 786 of the family's 1533-position model. The record is from RNAcentral.